AAUUGUGCUUAACACAUGCAUGUCGAACGAACUUUGGUAUUGAUUGGUGCUUGCAUCAUGAUUUACAUUUGAGUGAGUGGCGAACUGGUGAGUAACACGUGGGAAACCUGCCCAGAAGCGGGGGAUAACACCUGGAAACAGAUGCUAAUACCGCAUAACAACUUGGACCGCAUGGUCCGAGUUUGAAAGAUGGCUUCGGCUAUCACUUUUGGAUGGUCCCGCGGCGUAUUAGCUAGAUGGUGAGGUAACGGCUCACCAUGGCAAUGAUACGUAGCCGACCUGAGAGGGUAAUCGGCCACAUUGGGACUGAGACACGGCCCAAACUCCUACGGGAGGCAGCAGUAGGGAAUCUUCCACAAUGGACGAAAGUCUGAUGGAGCAACGCCGCGUGAGUGAAGAAGGGUUUCGGCUCGUAAAACUCUGUUGUUAAAGAAGAACAUAUCUGAGAGUAACUGUUCAGGUAUGACGGUAUUUAACCAGAAGUACGUUAUGCCCG
RNAcentral lists this ribosomal RNA (496 nucleotides) under Lactiplantibacillus plantarum. RNAcentral describes it as "bacterial SSU rRNA". It matches the Rfam family "Bacterial small subunit ribosomal RNA", at positions 40 to 505 of the family's 1533-position model. Lineage: Bacteria; Bacillati; Bacillota; Bacilli; Lactobacillales; Lactobacillaceae. The record is from RNAcentral.